AUUGAACGCUGGCGGCAGGCCUAACACAUGCAAGUCGAACGAGUGGCGGACGGGUGAGUAAUGUCUGGGAAACUGCCUGAUGGAGGGGGAUAACUACUGGAAACGGUAGCUAAUACCGCAUACCAUCAGAUGUGCCCAGAUGGGAUUAGCUAGUGGGUGGGGUAACGGCUCAUCAAGGCGACGAUCCCUAGCUGGUCUGAGAGGAUGACCAGCCACACUGGGACUGAGACACGGUCCAGACUCCUACGGGAGGCAGCAGUGGGGAAUAUUGCACAAUGGGCGAAAGCCUGAUGCAGCCAUGCCGCGUGAAUGAAGAAGGCCUUCGGGUUGUAAAGUACUUUCAGCGGAGAGGCGUUACCCGAAGAAGAAGCACCGGCUAACUACGUGCCAGCAGCCGCGGUAAUUC
RNAcentral lists this ribosomal RNA (406 nucleotides) under uncultured bacterium. RNAcentral's name for it is "partial 16S ribosomal RNA". It matches the Rfam family "Bacterial small subunit ribosomal RNA", at positions 30 to 526 of the family's 1533-position model. The record is from RNAcentral.